AUAAACCUACGGGGCGCAGCAGUGGGGGAUAUUGGACAAUGGGGGAAACCCUGAUCCAGCGACGCCGCGUGAGUGAAGAAGUAUUUCGGUAUGUAAAGCUCUGUCAGCAGGGAAGAAAGAAAUGACGGUACCUGACCAAGAAGCCCCGGCUAACUACGUGCCAGCAGCCGCGGUAAUACGUAGGGGGCAAGCGUUAUCCGGAAUUACUGGGUGUAAAGGGAGCGUAGACGGUAAUGUAAGUCUGGAGUGAAAGGCGGGGG
Molecule: ribosomal RNA, 260 nt
Filed under: uncultured bacterium
Lineage: Bacteria
Description: partial 16S ribosomal RNA
Rfam family: Bacterial small subunit ribosomal RNA
Source: RNAcentral